This 266-nucleotide ribosomal RNA is filed under the name uncultured prokaryote. RNAcentral describes it as "partial 16S ribosomal RNA". It matches the Rfam family "Bacterial small subunit ribosomal RNA", at positions 524 to 789 of the family's 1533-position model. The record is from RNAcentral.
UACGGAGGAUCCGAGCGUUAUCCGGAUUUAUUGGGCGUAAAGGGAGCGCAGGCGGUGACUUAAGUCUGAUGUGAAAGCCCACGGCUCAACCGUGGAAGGUCAUUGGAAACUGGGUCACUUGAAUAUAGAAGAGGAAAGUGGAAUUCCAUGUGUAGCGGUGAAAUGCGUAGAUAUAUGGAGGAACACCAGUGGCGAAGGCGACUUUCUGGUCUAUUAUUGACGCUGAGGCUCGAAAGCAUGGGUAGCAAACAGGAUUAGAUACCCGU